RNAcentral lists this long non-coding RNA (209 nucleotides) under Vigna radiata. RNAcentral's name for it is "long non-coding RNA (VRAD_LNC002927)". The record is from RNAcentral. Lineage: Eukaryota; Viridiplantae; Streptophyta; Magnoliopsida; Fabales; Fabaceae.
GAAAUGUAUUUUCAAAAACCUCAACAUUUAAACGUGCAUAAAACAUAAUAGUUCCAAAACAUUUGUCUAAUGAAAAUAGCGAAGGAAAUAAAAUGACUUUAAUUACAUUGUCACAAAGUUCAAAAGUAAUAACUAUAAUUAAAAUCUCAGGUUUGUCCUCCGUCAUCUCUCAAAUUUAUCAUGCCUUAGCACCAUCUGCAACAUCAUCU